GACGAACGCUGGCGGCGUGCUUAACACAUGCAAGUCGAACGGAAAGGCCCUGCUUUUGUGGGGUGCUCGAGUGGCGAACGGGUGAGUAACACGUGAGUAACCUGCCCUUGACUUUGGGAUAACUUCAGGAAACUGGGGCUAAUACCGGAUAGGAGCUCCUGCUGCAUGGUGGGGGUUGGAAAGUUUCGGCGGUUGGGGAUGGACUCGCGGCUUAUCAGCUUGUUGGUGGGGUAGUGGCUUACCAAGGCUUUGACGGGUAGCCGGCCUGAGAGGGUGACCGGCAACAUUGGGACUGGGAUACGGCCAAGACUCUUACGGGAGGCAGCAGUGGGGAAUAUUGAACAAUGGGCGGAAGCCUGAUGCAGCAACGCCGCGUGCGGGAUGACGGCCUUCGGGUUGUAAACCGCUUUCGCCUGUGCCGAAGCGUGAGUGACGGUAUGGGUAAAGAAGCACCGGCUAACUACGUG
This 467-nucleotide ribosomal RNA is filed under the name uncultured bacterium. Its description in RNAcentral is "partial 16S ribosomal RNA". It matches the Rfam family "Bacterial small subunit ribosomal RNA", at positions 28 to 507 of the family's 1533-position model. The record is from RNAcentral.